This is a long non-coding RNA of Mytilus californianus (California mussel), 1774 nucleotides long. RefSeq lists it as uncharacterized. The transcript has 3 exons. The record is from RefSeq and is a predicted model, not a curated record. Lineage: Eukaryota; Metazoa; Mollusca; Bivalvia; Mytilida; Mytilidae.
UAUAGACUGUGUAAAGGAGUACUGUAUUGUAUGGUAACUACCGACGGUAGGUAUGGACAAAUACUGUAUAUAUAGACUGUGUAAAGGAGUACUGUAUUGUAUGGUAACUACCGACGGUAGGUAUGGACAAAUACUGUAUAUAUAGACUGUGUAAAGGAGUACUGUAUUGUAUGGUAACCACCGACUGUAGGUAUGGACAAAUACUGUAUAUAUAGACUGUGUAAAGGAGUACUGUAUUGUAUGGUAACCACCGACGGUAAGUAUGGACAAAUACUGUAUAUAGACUGUGUAAAGGAGUACUGUAUUGUAUGGUAACCACCGACGGUAGUUAUGGACAAAUACUGUAUAUAGACUGUGUAUAGGAGUACUGUAUUGUAUGGUAACCACCGACAGUAGGUAUAGACAAAUACUGUAUAUAGACUCUGUAUAGGAGUACUGUAUUGUAUGUUAACCACGGUAGGUAUGAACAAAUACUGUAUAUAGACUUUGUAUAGGAGUACUAUAUUGUAUGGUAACCACCGACGGUAGGUUUAGACACAUACUGUAUAUAGACUUUGUAUAGGAGUACUGUAUUGUAUGGUAACCACCGACGGUAGGUAUGGACAAAUACUGUAUAUAGACUUUGUGUAGGAGUACUGUAUUGUAUGGUAACCAUUGACGGUAGGUAUAGACAAAUACUGUAUAUAGACUGUGUAUAGGAGUACUGUAUUGUAUGGUAACCACCGACUGUAGGUAUGGACAAAUACUGUUGAUAGACUGUGUAUAGGAGUACUGUAGUGUAUGGUAACCACCGACGGUAGGUAUAGACAAAUACUGUUGAUAGACUGUGUAUAGGAGUACUGUAUUGUAUGGUAACCACCGACUGUAGGUAUGAACAAAUACUGUAUAUAGACUGUGUAUAGGAGUACUGUAUUGUAUGGUAACUACCGACGGUAGGUAUAGACAAAUACUGUAUAUAGACUGUGUAUAGGAGUACUGUAUUGUAUGGUAACCACCGACGGUAGGUAUGAACAAAUACUGUAUAUAGACUGUGUAUAGGAGUACUGUAUUGUAUGGUAACCAACGACGGUAGGUAUGGACAAAUACUGUAUUUAGACUGUGUAUAGGAGUACUGUAUUGUAUGGUAACCACCGACUGUAGGUAUGAACACAUACUGUAUAUAGACUUUGUGUAGGAGUACUGUAUUGCAUGGUAACCACCGACGGUAGGUAUAGACAAAUACUGUUGAUAGACUGUGUAUAGGAGUACUGUAUUGUAUGUUAACCACGGGAGGUAUGGACAAAUACUGUAUAUAUAAUGUGUAUAGGAGUACUGUAUUGUAUGUUAACCACCGACGGUAGGUAUGGACAAAAACUGUAUAUAGACUUUGUAAAGGAGUCUUGUAUUUUAUGGGAACCACCGACGGUAGGUAUAGACAAAUACUGUAUUUAGACUUUGUAUAGGUGUACUGUAUUGUAUGGUAACCACCGACGGUAGGUAUAGACAAAUACUGUGUAUAGAAUUUAUUUAUUUAAAUGAAAAGUGUUGCACAUAAAUUGUAUUUCUGCAUUGAAAUUUUAUGUAAUCUUUUCCCUUCAAAUGGUGGAAUGGUCCUAUUUGUCCUUAAAUGGCAAAUAAAACUUACUGUUCUUUGCUUUUAUGUUUGAUAUAUUUUUGAAUAUUCUUCACGUGGAGAUCUGAUCUUGUCUAUUAAAUUUUGUCAUUUUACUUAUUACAUGUAUGUUAAUUGCAGCAACUGAAUUGGACUUAUUUAUUAAAAGUGAUAAUAUUUCUG